GACGAACGCUGGCGGCGUGCCUAAUACAUGCAAGUCGAGCGCAGGAAAUCGACGGAACCCUUCGGGGGGAAGUCGACGGAAUGAGCGGCGGACGGGUGAGUAACACGUAAAGAACCUGCCCUCAGGUCUGGGAUAACCACGAGAAAUCGGGGCUAAUACCGGAUGGGUCAUCGGACCGCAUGGUCCGAGGAUGAAAGGCGCUUCGGCGGCGCCUGGGGAUGGCUUUGCGGUGCAUUAGCUAGUUGGUGGGGUAAUGGCCCACCAAGGCGACGAUGCAUAGCCGACCUGAGAGGGUGAUCGGCCACACUGGGACUGAGACACGGCCCAGACUCCUACGGGAGGCAGCAGUAGGGAAUCUUCCACAAUGGACAAAAGUCUGAUGGAGCAACGCCGCGUGAACGAUGAAGGCCUUCGGGUCGUAAAGUUCUGUUGUAAGGGAAGAACAAGUGCCGCAGGCAAUGGCGGCACCUUGACGGUACCUUGCGAGAAAGCCACGGCUAACUACGUGCCAGCAGCCGCCGCGG
This 524-nucleotide ribosomal RNA is filed under the name uncultured bacterium. RNAcentral's name for it is "partial 16S ribosomal RNA". It matches the Rfam family "Bacterial small subunit ribosomal RNA", at positions 28 to 523 of the family's 1533-position model. The record is from RNAcentral.